Non-coding RNA from Klebsiella pneumoniae IS46, 309 nucleotides. The record is from Rfam. Lineage: Bacteria; Pseudomonadati; Pseudomonadota; Gammaproteobacteria; Enterobacterales; Enterobacteriaceae.
UAUGGCCGGUGCGGGAGUCCGCGCCGCGAACCUGCCGCUGUUUCUGCAGGCGGGGGUGAAAGAGGUCCAUAGCUCUGCUGGCCACUGGUUGCCGUCGGAAAUGCGCUUUCGUCAUCCGGGCGUUUCGAUGUCAGCCGAUCCCGAUGCCGAUGAAUACAGACGCUACGCCGUGAAUGGCGCAGCGGUGGCGGAGAUGAAAAGGAUUAUCUCCGCCUGGAGAAGUUAAACGGUUUUUUGCUGCACAUCAUGUCGCCCAAUAUGAUGAUUGCCCGUACCAGGCCCCUGCCCAUUAAACAGGGGCCUUUUUUA